RNAcentral lists this ribosomal RNA (444 nucleotides) under fungal sp. 1.20. RNAcentral's name for it is "eukaryotic LSU rRNA". The stretch from base 152 to 305 matches the Rfam family "5.8S ribosomal RNA". The record is from RNAcentral. Lineage: Eukaryota; Fungi.
CAUUAAAGAAUACCAGGCCUCACAGCCCUAUUCUCACCCUGUGUAUUUGAAACUUCGUUGCUUUGGCAGGCCCCUGGCUUCGGCUGGACAGCGCCUGCCAGAGGAUCUAAACCCUUGAAUCUCUGCUGUCUGAGUACUAUACAAUAGUUAAAACUUUCAACAACGGAUCUCUUGGUUCUGGCAUCGAUGAAGAACGCAGCGAAAUGCGAUAAGUAAUGUGAAUUGCAGAAUUCAGUGAAUCAUCGAAUCUUUGAACGCACAUUGCGCCCUCUGGUAUUCCGGGGGGCAUGCCUGUUCGAGCGUCAUUACAACCCUCACGCUCUGCGUGGUGUUGGGCUCGCCCUGUAAGGGCCUGCCUCAAAAUCAGUGGCGGCCGCUGUUCGACCCCUAAGCGUAGUAAUUAUUCGUCGCUUCUGGGCUAGAGCAAGCCUGCUAGGAACCCCC